This 465-nucleotide ribosomal RNA is filed under the name uncultured bacterium. Its description in RNAcentral is "partial 16S ribosomal RNA". It matches the Rfam family "Bacterial small subunit ribosomal RNA", at positions 338 to 795 of the family's 1533-position model. The record is from RNAcentral.
CCUACGGGUGGCAGCAGUGGGGAAUAUUGCGCAAUGGGCGAAAGCCUGACGCAGCGACGCCGCGUGAGGGAUGAAGGUCUUCGGAUCGUAAACCUCUGUCAGCAGGGAAGUACGGUCACUGUGCUAAUCAGCAGUGAAUUGACGGUACCUGCAAAGGAAGCACCGGCUAACUCCGUGCCAGCAGCCGCGGUAAUACGGCGGGUGCGAGCGUUAAUCGGAUUUACUGGGCGUAAAGCGCGCGUAGUCGGUAUGUCAAGUCAAGGGUGAAAGCCCCGCGCCCAACGGGGGAACUGCCUUUGAGACUGGCAGACUGGAGUGUGUGAGAGGGUAGUGGAAUUCGUGGUGUAGGGGUGAAAUCCGUAGAUAUCUGGAGGAACAUCAGGGGCGAAGGCGACUAUCUGGCACAUAACUGACGCUGAGGAGCGAAAGCGUGGGUAGCAAACAGGAUUAGAUACCCGAGUAGUC